GCAGUGGUGGUUCAGCGGUAGAAUUCUUGCCUUCUAUGUGGGAGACCCGGGCUUGAUUCCUGGCCAGUGUA
RNAcentral lists this transfer RNA (71 nucleotides) under Loxodonta africana (African savanna elephant). It matches the Rfam family "tRNA". From Rfam's summary of the family: Transfer RNA (tRNA) molecules are approximately 80 nucleotides in length. Their secondary structure includes four short double-helical elements and three loops (D, anti-codon, and T loops). Lineage: Eukaryota; Metazoa; Chordata; Mammalia; Proboscidea; Elephantidae. The record is from Rfam by way of RNAcentral.